GAUGAACGCUGGCGGCGUGCCUAAUACAUGCAAGUCGAGCGAACAGACGAGGAGCUUGCUCCUCUGACGUUAGCGGCGGACGGGGGAGUAACACGUGGAUAACCUACCUAUAAGACUGGGAUAACUUCGGGAAACCGGAGCUAAUACCGGAUAAUAUAUUGAACCGCAUGGUUCAAUAGUGAAAGACGGGUUUGCUGUCACUUAUAGAUGGAUCCGCGCCGCAUUAGCUAGUUGGUAAGGUAACGGCUUACCAAGGCGACGAUGCGUAGCCGACCUGAGAGGGUGAUCGGCCACACUGGAACUGAGACACGGUCCAGACUCCUACGGGAGGCAGCAGUAGGGAAUCUUCCGCAAUGGGCGAAAGCCUGACGGAGCAACGCCGCGUGAGUGAUGAAGGUCUUCGGAUCGUAAAACUCUGUUAUUAGGGAAGAACAAAUGUGUAAGUAACUAUGCACGUCUUGACGGUACCUAAUCAGAAAGCCACGGCUAACUACGUG
Molecule: ribosomal RNA, 497 nt
Filed under: uncultured bacterium
Lineage: Bacteria
Description: partial 16S ribosomal RNA
Rfam family: Bacterial small subunit ribosomal RNA
Source: RNAcentral